AGCUAGGGGAUGAAAGAGAGAGGGAAAAAGAGGGAGCAAGCUGGGCUGGCUCACAGAUCCCGUGGGAGAGACCUGGCAUUCACUUGCAAGGCUGGGAGAAGCCCUGGGAAAAAGGAUGCACUAAGAGAGUUGUAAGGCAUAGCACAAAGGAGGCAGCACAGUGGGAAGACAAUUUCAGUGUUCCCAGACCGGAUUCCUUUCAUCUCAAGCCAAGCCUAAGAAUAUGGUGUGGGAGCACACCCAUAGUACUCCAACCACCAGUGGGCAUUAGUGGGCUAACAACAGUGUGAAGGAAACAUGCCCUACACUCACAGAGGACUCCCUGAGAAGAUCAUCCUGCUUGCCUUGAGCCAUCAAAGAAGAUAUCAUCCAGACUGUCUUCACAUCCACAAGAUAUGUGAGUGCUCAGCACCUUUCAGAAGUCCAGAAGGGAUCACACAACCUGCAGUGGCCUUCUGGUGAUUAAAUAAAAGUAUGUAAAGUAGCUCAAAAAUCCUCUCCAAAAUCUACUUUCAUAGUAGAGUAAUUCUACUCAGUACUGGAAAUAAGUUUUAUUACUUCAUCUCAAGUUCAUUAGGGUGCUAAUUAAUAAAUAAA
This is a long non-coding RNA of Coturnix japonica (Japanese quail), 597 nucleotides long. RefSeq lists it as uncharacterized. The record is from RefSeq and is a predicted model, not a curated record. NCBI's taxonomy places the organism in Eukaryota, Metazoa, Chordata, Aves, Galliformes, Phasianidae.